CAAUAGCGUAUAUUAAAGUUGUUGCAGUUAAAAAGCUCGUAGUUGGAUUUCUGGAUUGAAGGUCCGGUCCGCGCACCUCUGGUGCGUGUGUACUAUGGAUAUUUGGUCCAUUUUACUAGAGAUGUUUUCUGCCAUUAGGUUGGUGGGGAGCAAUUUUCUAGUUCUUUCACUGUGAAUAACUCAGCUUGCUCCAGAAAGGCGUUUGCCAUAUUUUGAAUGUAUUAGCAUGGAAUAAUAAGAUAAGACUUUGGUGGUCUGUAUUUUGUUGGUUUACACACCAGAGUAAUGAUUAAUAGGGACAGUUGGGGGUAUCUAUAUUUCAUUGUCAGAGGUGAAAUUCUUGGAUCAAUGAAAGAUAAACUAAUGCGAAAGCAUUUACCAAGGAUGUUUUCUUUAA
RNAcentral lists this ribosomal RNA (397 nucleotides) under uncultured eukaryote. RNAcentral's name for it is "partial 18S ribosomal RNA". It matches the Rfam family "Eukaryotic small subunit ribosomal RNA", at positions 592 to 976 of the family's 1831-position model. The record is from RNAcentral.